This 497-nucleotide ribosomal RNA is filed under the name uncultured bacterium. Its description in RNAcentral is "partial 16S ribosomal RNA". It matches the Rfam family "Bacterial small subunit ribosomal RNA", at positions 28 to 507 of the family's 1533-position model. The record is from RNAcentral.
GAUGAACGCUGGCGGCGUGCCUAAUACAUGCAAGUCGAGCGAACAGACGAGGAGCUUGCUCCUCUGACGUUAGCGGCGAACGGGUAAGUAACACGUGGAGAACCUACCUAUAAGACUGGGAUAACUUCGGGAAACCGGAGCUAAUACCGGAGAAUAUAUUGAACCGCAUGGUUUAAUAGUGAAAGACGGUUUUGCUGUCACUUAGAGGUGGAUCCGCGCCGCAUUAGCUAGUUGGUAAGGUAACGGCUUACCAAGGCAACGAUGCGUAGCCGACCUGAGAGGGUGAUCGGCCACACUGGAACUGAGACACGGUCCAGACUCCUACGGGAGGCAGCAGUAGGGAAUCUUCCGCAAUGGGCGAAAGCCUGACGGAGCAACGCCGCGUGAGUGAUGAAGGUCUUCGGAUCGUAAAACUCUGUUAUUAGGGAAGAACAAAUGUGUAAGUAACUAUGCACGUCUUGACGGUACCUAAUCAGAAAGCCACGGCUAACUACGUG